This 659-nucleotide ribosomal RNA is filed under the name Streptomyces prasinus. Its description in RNAcentral is "bacterial SSU rRNA". It matches the Rfam family "Bacterial small subunit ribosomal RNA", at positions 75 to 749 of the family's 1533-position model. The record is from RNAcentral. Lineage: Bacteria; Bacillati; Actinomycetota; Actinomycetes; Kitasatosporales; Streptomycetaceae.
GCCCAUUCGGGGUGGAUUAGUGGCGAACGGGUGAGUAACACGUGGGCAAUCUGCCCUGCACUCUGGGACAAGCCCUGGAAACGGGGUCUAAUACCGGAUAUGACUGUCCACCGCAUGGUGGAUGGUGUAAAGCUCCGGCGGUGCAGGAUGAGCCCGCGGCCUAUCAGCUUGUUGGUGAGGUAGUGGCUCACCAAGGCGACGACGGGUAGCCGGCCUGAGAGGGCGACCGGCCACACUGGGACUGAGACACGGCCCAGACUCCUACGGGAGGCAGCAGUGGGGAAUAUUGCACAAUGGGCGAAAGCCUGAUGCAGCGACGCCGCGUGAGGGAUGACGGCCUUCGGGUUGUAAACCUCUUUCAGCAGGGAAGAAGCGAAAGUGACGGUACCUGCAGAAGAAGCGCCGGCUAACUACGUGCCAGCAGCCGCGGUAAUACGUAGGGCGCAAGCGUUGUCCGGAAUUAUUGGGCGUAAAGAGCUCGUAGGCGGCUUGUCACGUCGGUUGUGAAAGCCCGGGGCUUAACCCCGGGUCUGCAGUCGAUACGGGCAGGCUAGAGUUCGGUAGGGGAGAUCGGAAUUCCUGGUGUAGCGGUGAAAUGCGCAGAUAUCAGGAGGAACACCGGUGGCGAAGGCGGAUCUCUGGGCCGAUACUGACGCUGA